Molecule: ribosomal RNA, 253 nt
Filed under: uncultured bacterium
Lineage: Bacteria
Description: partial 16S ribosomal RNA
Rfam family: Bacterial small subunit ribosomal RNA
Source: RNAcentral
UACAGAGGUCCCAAGCGUUGUUCGGAUUCACUGGGCGUAAAGGGUGCGUAGGCGGUCGGGUAAGUCUGAUGUGAAAUCUCACAGCUUAACUGUGAAACUGCAUUGGAUACUAUCCGGCUCGAGGAAUGGAGGGGAGACUGGAAUACUUGGUGUAGCAGUGAAAUGCGUAGAUAUCAAGUGGAACACCAGUGGCGAAGGCGGCAUCCUGGACCGGCAUUGACGCUGAGGCGCGAAAGCCAGGGGAGCAAACGGG